GGGGGCGUAGCUCAGCUGGGAGAGCAUCUGAUUUGCAUUCAGAAGGUCGCAGGUUCGAUCCCUGUCGCCUCCACCA
Molecule: transfer RNA, 76 nt
Filed under: Pseudobdellovibrionaceae bacterium
Lineage: Bacteria; Pseudomonadati; Bdellovibrionota; Bdellovibrionia; Bdellovibrionales; Pseudobdellovibrionaceae
Also listed under: 1 other name
Description: Bdellovibrionaceae bacterium tRNA-Ala
Rfam family: tRNA
About the family: Transfer RNA (tRNA) molecules are approximately 80 nucleotides in length.
Source: RNAcentral